CCUACGGGUGGCAGCAGUGGGGGAUAUUGCACAAUGGGGGAAACCCUGAUGCAGCGAAGUCGCGUGAGUGAAGACGUAUCUCGGUAUGUAAAGCUUUAUUAGCAUGGAAGAAAAUGACAGUAUCUGACCAAGAAGCCCCGGCUAACUACGUGCCAGCAGCCGCGGCAAUACGGAGGGGGCCAGCGUUAUCCGGAUUUACUGGGUGUAAAGGGAGCGUAGACGGUUAUGUAAGUCUGGAGUGAAAGCCCGGGGCCCAACCCCGGGACUGCUUUGGAAACUGUGUAACUUGAGUACAGGAGGGGCAGGCGGAAUUCGUGGUGUAGCGGUGAAAUGCGUAGAUAUCAGGAGGAACACCGACGGCGAAGGCGGCCUGCUGGACUGAAACUGACGUUGAUGCUCGAAAGCGUGGGGAGCAAACAGGAUUAGAUACCCGAGUAGUC
RNAcentral lists this ribosomal RNA (440 nucleotides) under uncultured bacterium. Its description in RNAcentral is "partial 16S ribosomal RNA". It matches the Rfam family "Bacterial small subunit ribosomal RNA", at positions 338 to 795 of the family's 1533-position model. The record is from RNAcentral.